Molecule: non-coding RNA, 69 nt
Organism: Dipodomys ordii (Ord's kangaroo rat)
Lineage: Eukaryota; Metazoa; Chordata; Mammalia; Rodentia; Heteromyidae
Source: Rfam
GGGAAGGUGGCUCAGUGGUAGAGUGCUUGCCUUGCAUGAGGCCCUGGGUUCGAUUCCUCAGCACUCACA